GCAAGAAUGAAAUAGGGCCUCUCAUAGUGCCCCAUGCCAGAGCAAACUGUGGCCCUGAACCAUUGCCUGGUCUCUGUGUCCAUAGGCUGCUGGCACUGAAGUGGGUUGCACAGAG
This is a small nucleolar RNA of Otolemur garnettii (small-eared galago), 115 nucleotides long. The record is from Ensembl. Lineage: Eukaryota; Metazoa; Chordata; Mammalia; Primates; Galagidae.